This 66-nucleotide transfer RNA is filed under the name Geothelphusa sp. DJL-2014. Its description in RNAcentral is "tRNA-Thr". It matches the Rfam family "tRNA". From Rfam's summary of the family: Transfer RNA (tRNA) molecules are approximately 80 nucleotides in length. Their secondary structure includes four short double-helical elements and three loops (D, anti-codon, and T loops). Further hydrogen bonds mediate the characteristic L-shaped molecular structure. tRNAs have two regions of fundamental functional importance: the anti-codon, which is responsible for specific mRNA codon recognition, and the 3' end, to which the tRNAs corresponding amino acid is attached (by aminoacyl-tRNA synthetases). tRNAs cope with the degeneracy of the genetic code in two manners: having more than one tRNA (with a specific anti-codon) for a particular amino acid; and 'wobble' base-pairing, i.e. permitting non-standard base-pairing at the 3rd anti-codon position. Lineage: Eukaryota; Metazoa; Arthropoda; Malacostraca; Decapoda; Potamidae. The record is from RNAcentral.
GUUUUGAUAGUUUAAUAUAAAACUUUGGUCUUGUAAACCAAAAAUGAAAUUAUUUCUCUCAAACCU